AGACAUUGCUGUCGCUCACGGUGAAAGAAUUUUGUCAAUACGACUUUUACUUUUCAUUUGGGAACGAUUUGUUUCGGCCUGACUUUUCUGUUCAUUUUAAGCAGCAAAAGUGAGGCGCAUGUCUGUGUACGUGUGUAUGGAGCCAUUGGGUGCGGUCACUAUAGCAACCAGGCUCACACCUGCCUGCUUAACGAGCUCUGCCUGCCACUGUACCAAGAUUCAUCUUAAGCACUUCUCUUUCAACUGCUGCUGUGUCCACAGUGUUACAGCCAUCAUUUUACCCUCAAAUUGUCGCCAUUAUUGUUCUCUUUCCAACACCGUAUCUUUCAAAGCUCAGGCAUUUAAACUUUUUAAACUGUGUGUAUCAAAGUGGAGGGAUCACAUUUGAGUCAUUCAGUGAUUCAAAGAAUAUGACCUUUUAAUAUUCAUUCAGAUGUUUUCUGACUCUAAAUGUUCUUUUCUCAUUUCUUAGGGUUUUCUAAUUUACAUUUAAAACAUUUUCACUUUUUUCCAACUUCUUCUUCUGUGUAACGUUCAGCUUUUAGCAGUUCAGCACCUUUGUUUUCAGGUUAAAUUCGUUUUUUUUUUUUGUUUUUUUUUAAUCUCAUUCAAUAUUUUUAACUCAAAAUUCAGCAAUUAAUUCAUUUCAGUGCAUACAUUCAGAUUCAAGCAUUCACACUGCAGUUUCUUCAGAAAAUGCACUUUCUAGUUAUUAUAUUUUAUCUAUUCCGUACGUUUUUUGAAAGCCUACUCCUUCAAAACCGUUCAACUUAGAAAAACCAUUCAAACACCAUUAGAUUCCUAUUCUUUUGGACACUGUUGCUUGUAUUUUUCUCAUUUUUAACAUUUAUAUUUUUAAUUUUAUUCAACUUUAUUCAACAAAAAUUUCCCAUGUAUUUCAAUGGGGAGACCCUUCAAAUUCUCAUUCAACUUACUCAUUUUUAAACUCUUACUACUUCAACAUACGUUCACAUAGAGCCACCAUUCAAACUUUAAAACGAAGACAAGACAUUCAACUAUUCAACUUGUAUUUAUCUUUUCAAUAUCUAUUAUACUUUUUCUUCAGUUCCAGUUUAAGUUUCAUGAUGUUUUUUCACCCGUUUCAGAGUUUAUAAUGGGUGUGUAUGGGACGGAAUGUUGGGGCUAGAGUGAGACAGCUCAACUGCUAGAGUGAGAGGAGCAAAAAAAA
Astatotilapia calliptera (eastern happy) is the source of this 1189-nucleotide long non-coding RNA. The record is from Ensembl. Lineage: Eukaryota; Metazoa; Chordata; Actinopteri; Cichliformes; Cichlidae.